This 319-nucleotide ribosomal RNA is filed under the name uncultured eukaryote. RNAcentral describes it as "partial 18S ribosomal RNA". It matches the Rfam family "Eukaryotic small subunit ribosomal RNA", at positions 1470 to 1796 of the family's 1831-position model. The record is from RNAcentral.
CCCUUAGAUGGUCUGGGCGGCACGCGCGCUACAAUGAUGCAUUCAAAAAGUCUUCUGACCUUAGAAGGUUGGGUAUUCUCCAAAGUGCAUCGUGAUGGGAAUAGUUUAUUGCAAUUUUUAAUCUUGAACGAGGAAUUCCUAGUAAGUACAGGUCAUCAACUUGUGUUGAUUACGUCCCUGCCCUUUGUACACACCGCCCGUCACUCCUACUGAUUGAGUGUCUCGGUGAAUUCUUUGAUCUUCUGUCGAUUCAGUUCACUGAUCCGACGGUGGAAAGUUGAAUGAACUUCGUCACUUAGAGGAAGGAGAAGUCGUAACA